This 2667-nucleotide unclassified non-coding RNA is filed under the name Leishmania donovani. Its description in RNAcentral is "gene:LdHU3.30.0240(CDS-product:lysyl-tRNA_synthet ase_putative)". Lineage: Eukaryota; Euglenozoa; Kinetoplastea; Trypanosomatida; Trypanosomatidae. The record is from RNAcentral.
GUUCCUUCACCCCUCCCUCAUUUUUUUUCUCUCUGCGUCCUCGUCGACUCGGUUCGUCUUCGGUGAGUGCGGUGAUGUACCGUGCCCCUAAAGCACUGACAGCGGCACUGCUGCCGCUCACCUCUUUAACCUUACAAUACCGGAGAACAUCUGCCGUCGUCCGCCAGGGAGCAUCGACGACUGCCGACACUGUGCCACCGCCAGCGGAGGGGGCCGCCUCCAGCGCCUCUGCCUCUCCUCCAAUGUCAGCACCGGCUUCCCACGCUGCCGCCGCCGCCGAGAGCGAGGCGCCGAGGAGCAAAGAGCGGAGGCGGAAGGGGCGCGAUCGGGCCCCUGCCUCAUCCGUUGUCCCCGCCACUCUUCAAGCCUCGAGAAGCCAGCGCGCCGGAGUCGCGACCAACACCGCACCGGCUGGUGCCUCUCUUCCACCGCCGCGUACCAUUCUUGACUUCCCGAACGCGUAUCAGCCAUUCGACGCCGUCACGCCGCUCGCGGAGUUCCGAGAAAAGUAUGACUACAUCAGAGCCGAUCAGCGGUGCAGCGAGUCACCUAGUGUGCGCGUCGGGGGCCGCAUCGUGAGCAUCCGCGACAUGGGUGGUAUUCUUUUCAUCACCAUCCGCAGCGGCGAAGCCCAACUGCAGGUGCUGCGGCAGGUGAACGAGUCCUUCACCAAGGCUGACCUGCGUGCCUUUGCUAGUACACUGCACACGGGCGACAUCCUCGGUGCCACCGGCGUGCCGGGUCGCACCGCGAAAGGAGAGCUCUCCCUCUACGCGACGGAGGCCUCCAUCUUGGCACCGUACGUCUGCACAGACCAGGCGCUGUGCCCCGACCUGAAGGGCUUCGUGCCGCUCACGGACACCGGCAUCAAAUACCGCUACCGCUUUGUCGACAUGAUGUCCAGCCCGUCCGUCGUGCAGCAUUUCCGCAAGCGCCACGCCAUCACGCGCGCUCUGCGCGACUUUCUCGACGCGCGCAGCUUCGUCGAGGUGGAGACGCCGGUGCUGCACUCCGUCGCCUCAGGUGCCAACGCGAAGCCGUUUGUCACGCACCACAACGCCAACGACGCGGAUCUCUUCCUUCGGGUGGCCCCAGAGCUUCACCUGAAACAGUGCGUUGUGGGCGGCAUGGAGCGCGUGUACGAGAUCGGCCGCGUCUUCCGGAACGAGGACGCCGACCGCAGCCACAACCCCGAAUUCACCACGUGCGAGUUCUACGCCGCCUAUCACACCUACAAGGAUCUGAUGACCAUGACGGAAGAGAUCCUGCGCCACUUGGCGCUCGCGGCGAACGGCACCACCAAAAUCACUGUGACGUCGUGCGUGGAAAAGAAGCCGGUGGAAAUCGACCUUGCGCAGCCGUUUCGCCGCGUCAACGCGUACGACGCAGUGCAGGAGGCGGCCGGCGUCGAGCUGCCGCCCCCGACAGAGCUGAGUACGCCGCGUGGACUGGCAUACAUGUCUGCCAUCAUGCUCCGCUACAACAUCCCGCUGCCGUCGGUGCGCACGGCUGCCAAGAUGUUCGACAAGCUCAUCGACUACUUCAUCACUGAUCGCGUGGUGGAGCCGACGUUCGUGACGGACCAUCCGCUGUUCAUGAGCCCGCUGGCGAUGGAGCAGCGCACGCGGCCGGGGCUGUCGGCUCGUUUCGAGCUAUUCAUCAAUGGCACCGAGUACUGCAACGCGUACAGCGAGCUGAAUGACCCGCAGGAGCAGUACUACCGCUUUCAGCAGCAGCUGCUGGACAGGCAAACCGGCGACGACGAGGCGAUGGCGCUGGACGAAACGUUUCUCAAGGCGCUGCAGGUCGGGCUGCCCCCAACGGCGGGGUGGGGGAUGGGGAUCGACCGCGUCGCCAUGCUCCUCAACGGGUCCUCCACCAUCCGCGAGGACAUUUUGUUUCCGCUGCUCCGCCACGACGCCACGUCGCACGAUGCAAAACGUCGGUGUAAGACGGCCUCUUUUUUCGGCUUCAACCACAACAUGACGCUCUUCUGUCUCAACGCGCUCGAAGAGGAGAUGCUGAAGCGCGCCGCUCCGACGGAGUCGCUCGAGAAGAUUCGCCAGCUGCGCCAAUGCCUGUCCACGAUGCAGCAGCGCGACAUGGUGACGUACGCGCCCGAGGAUGGCGCACCGCGAGGGUGGCGCUAUGAGGCAACCAUGGCCGUGCUCCGCCUUUUCUGCUACCGCGGAAAGUACUGAGCUGCUAAGGGCAGAGCGGGUGGGUGGGUGGUAUGGCGUGAGCGCUGCUUCGUUACGGCAUUGCCCGCGCGGCGAACAAAGAAAGUGAAACAACUGCAGCUCCUCUGCUCACGUGCGCGUCUGCCUGUGCGCGCGCGCCGCCUCGUAUUCUGUUGCGCGCUCGCUUAUAGCAUAAUUAGGUGACUGCACUUCUCCAAGCAUCUGCCGUCUGUGUGCGUGCGCAUGCGCGAAUGCGAGAGCUGCAUCGCAUGGCGUGUGUGUGGGCGCUGACCGCGUCGUGGUUCUGUUCCAGCGUCGUCUCCGACGUCGCACGCCGGCCCUUCUUUUUCGCUGCAUGCGCCCCAUGCGUCUCUUCUCCCUCUCUGUGCUCCCCUCCGCUAUUUUGCUCUGCCUUGUGCCGCACCGUACUUCGUUCUCCUGCUGAUAUCUGUGUCGCCGCGAGUCUCUGCCGUGUGCCUGUCUCCAG